UAUGGAUGGUAGUGAACUGUCACAG
Molecule: non-coding RNA, 25 nt
Filed under: Mus musculus (house mouse)
Lineage: Eukaryota; Metazoa; Chordata; Mammalia; Rodentia; Muridae
Source: RNAcentral